UUCUCCUGGAAAACGGGUGGUAAUGCCGGAUGCUCCAUUUCAUUGCAUGGUGUUUUGGGAAAGCCUUUGCGGCAUGGGAUGGGGUCGCGUCCUAUCAGCUUGAUGGCGGGGUAACGGCCCACCAUGGCUUCGACGGGUAGCCGGCCUGAGAGGGCGACCGGCCACAUUGGGACUGAGAUACGGCCCAGACUCCUACGGGAGGCAGCAGUGGGGAAUAUUGCACAAUGGGCGCAAGCCUGAUGCAGCGACGCCGCGUGAGGGAUGGAGGCCUUCGGGUUGUAAACCUCUUUUGUUAGGGAGCAAGGCAUUUUGUGUUGAGUGUACCUUUCGAAUAAGCACCGGCUAACUACGUGCCAGCAGCCGCGGUAAUACGUAGGGUGCAAGCGUUAUCCGGAAUUAUUGGGCGUAAAGGGCUCGUAGGCGGUUCGUCGCGUCCGGUGUGAAAGUCCAUCGCUUAACGGUGGAUCCGCGCCGGGUACGGGCGGGCUUGAGUGCGGUAGGGGAGACUGGAAUUCCCGGUGUAACGGUGGAAUGUGUAGAUAUCGGAAAAGAACACCAAA
Molecule: ribosomal RNA, 560 nt
Filed under: Bifidobacterium breve
Lineage: Bacteria; Bacillati; Actinomycetota; Actinomycetes; Bifidobacteriales; Bifidobacteriaceae
Description: bacterial SSU rRNA
Rfam family: Bacterial small subunit ribosomal RNA
Source: RNAcentral